GCAGUCACUGCCAACCUGCAGGAUAACACAGCUUGUUCCUCUGGGAACUGCCCUGCAGUGUCUGCAUACAGCCACCCUUGACCUGUCUGCCUGGUCUUUGCAACCUCUAGUGACUGUUGUUCCACAAUGUGUAGUGAAGGCAGGAACCUCCUUGCUUCCCUCUGAAGCUCCCUUUCUAGAAAGGUCAGAGCCGUUCCUUCCCAUUCAUGUGUUGAAAUAAGCACAUGAUUCAGUUAUCACCCUUCCUCAAACCCCUCCAGCUUACAUGCUUUGGAAACAGGCAGCCAAGGUGGAUGGAGAGCAGAGAUGUUUCCUGUCUUCAGCUUCUUGAGAGCUCAUUGAUUGAGGCAGCAUCUCUCACAGCCUGAAGCCCAGCAAUUCAGCUUCUCUGGCUUGUCAGCAAGACUCCAGGACUCUCCUUUCUCGAUGUCCCCUGUGUUGGGAUUACAGGCCUACACAGCUAUACUUGGCUUCUCAUAUGGGCACCAGGAAACCCAGACCUUGGUGUUUGUUCAAAGGAUAAGAGCCCAUCACCAUCAAGACAGUAAAAUGGCAACAGGCAGGCAUAGUACUGGAGCAGUCACUGAGAGCUCAUGAAUUCAUCUACAAACAGAAAGAGGAGAUAACUGGAAAGGAAGCAAUGCUUUUGAAACCUCAAAGCCUGCUGCAAUGACAUACUUCCUCCAGCAAGGUCACACCUCCUAACCCUCCCUAAACAGCUACCAACUGUGAAUCAAGUACCUGCAACUUACAGAGAAC
Molecule: long non-coding RNA, 759 nt
Filed under: Mus musculus (house mouse)
Lineage: Eukaryota; Metazoa; Chordata; Mammalia; Rodentia; Muridae
Description: predicted gene, 40653
Source: RNAcentral